UACAGAGGGUGCGAGCGUUAAUCGGAAUUACUGGGCGUAAAGGGUGCGUAGGUGGCGACAUAAGUCAGGUGUGAAAUCCCCGAGCUUAACUUGGGAAUUGCGCUUGAGACUGUAUUGCUAGAGUGUUGUAGAGGAAAGUGGAAUUUCCGGUGUAGCGGUGAAAUGCGUAGAUAUCGGAAGGAACACCAGUGGCGAAGGCGGCUUUCUGGACAGACACUGACACUGAGGCACGAAAGCGUGGGUAGCAAACAGG
This 253-nucleotide ribosomal RNA is filed under the name uncultured bacterium. RNAcentral's name for it is "partial 16S ribosomal RNA". It matches the Rfam family "Bacterial small subunit ribosomal RNA", at positions 524 to 776 of the family's 1533-position model. The record is from RNAcentral.